UGCUGUGCUAGUCAUGUUUUUGAGCAGAG
This 29-nucleotide non-coding RNA is filed under the name Mus musculus (house mouse). Lineage: Eukaryota; Metazoa; Chordata; Mammalia; Rodentia; Muridae. The record is from RNAcentral.